This 475-nucleotide unclassified non-coding RNA is filed under the name Hevea brasiliensis (rubber tree). Lineage: Eukaryota; Viridiplantae; Streptophyta; Magnoliopsida; Malpighiales; Euphorbiaceae. The record is from RNAcentral.
GCAAAGGUGUGUUUCUUUUUCUAUCGCAGUAAAUUUACUUAGCCAAAUGGAUUCAUGGGUUAUGAUCAAAUCUUUCUGAGCAAACCUAUGUGGUUGCAGCUGUUAAUUUCUUGUACUUCUAACAUUUGGACGUAAUAUUUUUUUGGUCCUGUCAUUUGAUGAGUCCCAUGGAGGGGCAGACUCGAUUAAAAUCCCAGUCACUGGUGAUUCUUUGAUGUUUUCUUUUUCUAGACCUUGAUGAUUGAUAUUCUAAUAUGAUAAUUCUAUUCAAGGAUUUGAACAAGGACAAAUUCUUUCUCAUGAUCAUUUGAUGUCAUUCUUGAUUCUUGAAUACUUUGAUUAAAUUAUAUUAUUAUUGGACUCUCUUUUUGUUCUCUAUUGUUUUGUCAACCAUCUUUGAGGACAAUGUCAGGUUCUGAUACUAGUUUGCAUAUGUUAAUGUGUUGAAUCCCAUUUUGUAUGUUGAUGCUGCCCG